Molecule: ribosomal RNA, 473 nt
Filed under: Escherichia coli
Lineage: Bacteria; Pseudomonadati; Pseudomonadota; Gammaproteobacteria; Enterobacterales; Enterobacteriaceae
Description: bacterial SSU rRNA
Rfam family: Bacterial small subunit ribosomal RNA
Source: RNAcentral
AAAUUGAAGAGUUUGAUCAUGGCUCAGAUUGAACGCUGGCGGCAGGCCUAACACAUGCAAGUCGAACGGUAACAGGAAACAGCUUGCUGUUUCGCUGACGAGUGGCGGACGGGUGAGUAAUGUCUGGGAAACUGCCCGAUGGAGGGGGAUAACUACUGGAAACGGUAGCUAAUACCGCAUAACGUCGCAAGACCAAAGAGGGGGACCUUCGGGCCUCUUGCUAUAGGAUGUGCCCAGAUGGGAUUAGCUAGUAGGUGGGGUAACGGCUCACCUAGGCGACGAUCCCUAGCUGGUCUGAGAGGAUGACCAGCCACACUGGAACUGAGACACGGUCCAGACUCCUACGGGAGGCAGCAGUGGGGAAUAUUGCACAAUGGGCGCAAGCCUGAUGCAGCCAUGCCGCGUGUAUGAAGAAGGCCUUCGGGUUGUAAAGUACUUUCAGCGGGGAGGAAGGGAGUAAAGUUAAUACCUUU